RNAcentral lists this ribosomal RNA (548 nucleotides) under uncultured Glomeromycotina. Its description in RNAcentral is "SSU rRNA". It matches the Rfam family "Eukaryotic small subunit ribosomal RNA", at positions 548 to 1098 of the family's 1831-position model. The record is from RNAcentral. Lineage: Eukaryota; Fungi; Glomeromycota.
UUGGAGGGCAGUCUGGUGCCAGCAGCCGCGGUAAUUCCAGCUCCAAUAGCGUAUAUUAAAGUUGUUGCAGUUAAAAAGCUCGUAGUUGAAUUUCGGGAUCAAUUUGCUGGUCGUGCCUUCGGUACGCACUGGUAUUAUUGGUUUCUCCUUUCUGAUGAAUCGCGAUGUCAUUAAUUUGGUGUCGUGGGGAAUCAGGACCGUUACUUUGAAAAAAUUAGAGUGUUUAAAGCAGGCUCACGCUUGAAUACAUUAGCAUGGAAUAAUGAAAUAGGACGUUUGAUUCUAUUUUGUUGGUUUCUAGGAUCGACGUAAUGAUUAAUAGGGAUAGUUGGGGGCGUUAGUAUUCAAUUGUCAGAGGUGAAAUUCUUGGAUUUAUUGAAGACUAACUACUGCGAAAGCAUUUGCCAAGGAUGUUUUCAUUAAUCAAGAACGAAAGUUAGGGGAUCGAAGACGAUCAGAUACCGUCGUAGUCUUAACCAUAAACUAUGCCGACUAGGGAUCGGAUGAUGUUAAUUUUUUAAUGACUCAUUCGGCGCCUUACGGGAAAC